Molecule: long non-coding RNA, 1595 nt
Organism: Brachypodium distachyon (stiff brome)
Lineage: Eukaryota; Viridiplantae; Streptophyta; Magnoliopsida; Poales; Poaceae
Exons: 4
Source: RefSeq, a predicted model, not a curated record
CCCGUUAGUCCACAGGUGAUUUAGAUCAGGACCCGCGGGUUCGCGUCUGGACGCUGCAGCGCCGCCAUCCGCCCGCCGUCUCCCUCCCCUCUACUCCUCUACCGCCGCCGCUCCUACUCUCCUCCGGCCUGCCAGCACCGCGCCGUCCGCCACUCGCAGUUCUUAAACAGCCUCGGGAGCAGAAAAUUUCCAUCUGUUGGCAUCUCCUCUCCCAUCCAGACGACCAGCGAUGAAGAUGGUGGUCAAGAACGUGCGGCGGUCGUGAGGCUGGUCUCCCUCCCCAGUGAGAUAUCCUUCCCCUGCGGCCUCCCCUUACUCCAGUUCCUCGUCGACGAUGGUAAAUAAAACCUUCAUUACAUUUGUACGAUUACAAUCACGACGCAGGGCGUCGACUAAGAAAUCAGGUUUUUUACCCAGCCAGCAAACAGUGAGGCUUUGAGUUCUAGCAAACUUAGCUAAGCUAUCAGAAACACAAUUUUGGUCACGAGAACAUUUCUGGAUAGUCACGCCAGGCCGUUGGCUUACAAGCUGUUGGAUAGAUGUGACCCGAUUCCUGUACAGGAACAGGUUGGUGCUUCCAGGAGUAUUAUUUCACAUUAGGUGCCCUCUUGCCUUGAUUGACUAUUUGACUUGGUGUUUACCCAAGGACACAUUUUUUGAUCAAUCUCACAAAUUAAAGUUGCAGGAUAACCAUUGUGUUCUUAGCCAUGUGGAACACCAUAGAUUGGUUGAUACUCCCUUAAAAUCAGGCAUGUUUCGUUGGUUUGUGAGGAAUAAUCACAAAUAUUGGUCAGAUUCCUAAUUUAGUGCACUAUCUUUGUCUGAAGCAAGACUAAUGUUGACUGAUGAACUUGCAUAAACAAGUUUGUAUCUAUCAAUUAGCACGAAUGCAGCAGCAUUUGGUAUGCUUGAGAGCUUAUACACUAUGCAAAAUAUUUGAAGCUGUCACUAAAGCAACACUCAACUUGUCCUUGCAGAUUCAUGAGUCAUUAACUAUGGAAAAACGAAGCAAAGAUCAGAAAGUAGGUACAUCAUCAUCUGACCAAGGCCAAGCUAAUCUAAAUAAAAGGAGGCAUGAACAGAAAUCCAUCCGACAAUCCAAAUUAACUCUCAGAAGAGAUGGUGUGCUGCAUGAGAUAUCUUCGUACAUUUAUCUCAACCAUCCAAAGUUAUUAUCAAAGAUGUCUUAUUGACAAUCCAUCUUAAUGAGCGCUUGCACCUUCUGUGGGUUUGUGAAAAAUUCUGCAAAGAGAUCAGAAAUAGCGACAUGAACCAACUAGGGAGGAUCAUUAUCAAAUGCACAACCUACCUUCAAUUACAGGCCAGAAAUGAUUUGCCCCCGCGGAGAGCCAACUGGCGGUAGCACGAAAUUAAAAUAACUGCCUCUGAAAACGUGCUUGACCAUGCAAAUAUUUGUACCUUAAUUUAAUGUAUAUUUGUUGCACCGACUAUCGUUGCUUCUUUAUGGUCUAUUUGAAAACAUUACUGUUUGAUAUAUGGUAUUCCAUGUAAAACAAUCACUUAGGUUGAUGAAAACAAAAUCGCCUGGUUAACUUAUAUUUUGGAACAUCUCAUUCUAUAACUAGAACUUGUGA